UAUGACCAGGUCACUAACCUACCGUGACAAGAGAGAAGAGGCAACAAGGAAAUCAUCAUCUCCGGUGAGCCUACAAGUAUCCACCAAAUGGAGGAGUCUCUGCUUAUCUGUGUCCUUUCCUUUCCAUCACGAAGCAUCCCUACAAAGGAACUAAAAUUUCUGUUUACAAAUGAGGAAAUUAAAGCUUCAGGAUAUAAACUGCCUGGUAUUGGCGAGUUCCAAAGUAAGACUCAAGCCACCAACAGUUAGACCUGCAAAAUCGGUGUUCUUUUACAAAAUGGUGGCCAGUGGCCCCACCCAAGUAGUGAGCCUCAUGCUAUUAACAAGCAACUUCUGUUGAGAUAGAUGUGACCUUGGUGCCGAAGACAUCCACAAAGAUAAGGAUUCUCACGGAGACAGAGACAGAGGUGAGGCUCAGCAGGGCAGCCCAGGAAAGCACCAGCCUAUUACAAACUCAUCCUCAGUGAAACUAUGCUUUGGAGAUGUCCAGUCCUCUGUAUAUUCAUCUUCAGUACAGGGACAUCUUUGGAUGUAUAUUUGGAACCAGUUGCCAAAACUUUUACUGUUGUAGCUGGGAAUCCUGCCUCCUUCUACUGCACUGUAACAGGAGGGGACAUGAAGAAUUAUCAUAUGAGCUGGUAUAAGAAGAAUGGAAAUAAUGCUCUGUUUUUAGUAUACAAGCUAAAUAGCAAUUCUAC
This 698-nucleotide long non-coding RNA is filed under the name Mus spicilegus (steppe mouse). RNAcentral describes it as "lncRNA (ENSMSIG00000016064.1)". The record is from RNAcentral. Lineage: Eukaryota; Metazoa; Chordata; Mammalia; Rodentia; Muridae.